This 433-nucleotide ribosomal RNA is filed under the name uncultured bacterium. RNAcentral describes it as "partial 16S ribosomal RNA". It matches the Rfam family "Bacterial small subunit ribosomal RNA", at positions 29 to 507 of the family's 1533-position model. The record is from RNAcentral.
AGCGAACGCUGGCGGCAGGCUUAACACAUGCAAGUCGAGCGGGCCUUUCGGGGUCAGCGGCGGACGGGUGAGUAACGCGUGGGAACGUGCCCUCUGGUUCGGAAUAACUCAGGGAAACUUGAGCUAAUACCGGAUACGCCCUUUUGGGGAAAGGCUUGCUGCCGGAGGAUCGGCCCGCGUCUGAUUAGCUAGUUGGUGAGGUAACGGCUCACCAAGGCGACGAUCAGUAGCUGGUCUGAGAGGAUGAUCAGCCACACUGGGACUGAGACACGGCCCAGACUCCUACGGGAGGCAGCAGUGGGGAAUAUUGGACAAUGGGCGCAAGCCUGAUCCAGCCAUGCCGCGUGAGUGAUGAAGGCCUUAGGGUUGUAAGGCUCUUUUAUCCGGGACGAUAAUGACGGUACCGGAGGAAUAAGCCCCGGCUAACUUCGUG